Molecule: ribosomal RNA, 256 nt
Filed under: uncultured bacterium
Lineage: Bacteria
Description: partial 16S ribosomal RNA
Rfam family: Bacterial small subunit ribosomal RNA
Source: RNAcentral
CGGACGGGUGAGUAACGCGUGGGUAACCGUGCCCUGUACAGGGGGAUAACAGUUGGAAACGGCUGCUAAAACCGCAUAACAUGGAGAUACCGCAUGAUAUUUCCAUCAAAUAUUUAUAGGUACAGGAUGGGCCCGCGUCUGAUUAGCCAGUUGGCAGGGUAAUGGCCUACCAAAGCGACGAUCAGUAGCCGGCUUGAGAGAGUGACCGGCCACAUUGGGACUGAGACACGGCCCAAACUCCUACGGAAGGCAGCAG